This 48-nucleotide non-coding RNA is filed under the name Trypanosoma brucei brucei. The record is from RNAcentral. Lineage: Eukaryota; Euglenozoa; Kinetoplastea; Trypanosomatida; Trypanosomatidae.
AUAUAUAAUUAACAGAUCUGAGUUUAUAGUUGUGAUGAUAUGUCGUAU